GACGAACGCUGGCGGCGUGCUUAACACAUGCAAGUCGAACGGACAGGCCCUGCUUUUGUGGGGUGCUCGAGUGGCGAACGGGUGAGUAACACGUGAGUAACCUGCCCUUGACUUUGGGAUAACUUCAGGAAACUGGGGCUAAUACCGGAUAGGAGCUCCUGCUGCAUGGUGGGGGUUGGAAAGUUUCGGCGGUUGGGGAUGGACUCGCGGCUUCUCCGCUUGUUGGUGGGGUAGUGGCUUACCAAGGCGUUGACGGGUAGCCGGCCUGAGAGGGUGACCAGGCACAUUGGGACUGAGAUACGGCCCAGUCUCCUACGGGAGGCAGCAGUGGAGAAUAUUGCGCAGUGGCCGGAAGCCUGAUGCAGCGACGCUGCGUGCGGGAUGACGGCCUUCGGGUUGUAAACCGCUUUCGCCUGAGACGAAGAGUGAUUGACGGUAAUGGGUAAAAAAGCACCGGCUAACUACGUG
This 468-nucleotide ribosomal RNA is filed under the name uncultured bacterium. RNAcentral describes it as "partial 16S ribosomal RNA". It matches the Rfam family "Bacterial small subunit ribosomal RNA", at positions 28 to 507 of the family's 1533-position model. The record is from RNAcentral.